This is a non-coding RNA of Mus caroli (Ryukyu mouse), 1513 nucleotides long. The record is from RefSeq and is a predicted model, not a curated record. NCBI's taxonomy places the organism in Eukaryota, Metazoa, Chordata, Mammalia, Rodentia, Muridae.
ACACGAAGCAUGCGCGUCUCUCGUCCGGCCGCGGUGCCUUAGCGGCACACUGAACAUGCGCAUCCACCCUCGUGCUAGGGCUCCCCUGUAGUUAAGGCGGGCACCGCACACUGGGAACCUGCACGUUAACUGCUCAAGUUGCUGUACGACCCCCUCCGCUAUGGACAUUGCUGCAGGGCGCAUGACCUCGAGGAGCGGUUGCCCAGUCGGGGCAGUCUGUUUCCUGUGUCUCUCAAGAGAUGAAGGAGAAAAGGCCCAUCUCUGUGGAUGUUGAACCAUGGGAGGAGGGAGUAUCCUGACAAGGACUGAGAGGUUUAGGAAGGAGCCAGGCUCAAGCUUCAAGGGGACAUAUGACUGAUCACCCUCCAGCCAACAAUGCAACCUGGAUAUAAGUGCCUGUGCCCUUCCUCCAGUUGCUGGAAUUUAGCUACUAGAUCUAUGCUNCAUCAGUUUCCAGGAGCUCCAGCCUUGAUGUCCUGGUCAUGCUGGUCAAGAACGGUUCCCUCAUCCCAACCCCUGACUUGGGUUUGCAACAUGUCCUAGAACCUGGACCUCCAGCACCAGCUGAAGCUGCAACAAAAUUCCUGAACAGGAUGCGAAAGUGUUUCAACUGAGCCUUGAGAGCUGAAUGUACCUUGGCACCUGUCCCCUGGAUGGGACAACUUGAGGAAGGGCAAUCCAUAUUCCCGUUCCCUACCAAGGACACUUGUUAGUGUGCAUAUGAGGAGUAAGUCCACCACCAACUCUCUAUCCCUGAAGGGCUUUCACUGUCCUGAAGUAGGCACAACUGUGUAGGCCCAGCAGGUCAUGUCACUGAUGCAGAAGAAAUGUAGAGAGCAGCAUGGUAGAUACCUGCAGUGUGGGCUACACUGAUUGUCUAAAUGCAAGACAAACACCAAGGGUCCUCCUGGCAGUGAGUGAAAGAGAAACUAAGCAGAGAUGAGACAAAAGAGAGGAGAAAGGUUUAUUACCUGAAGGGGAUGAGGAGAGCAUUGGCAUCCUAUUUGGGAAGCCACAUCCUGCUCCAGCAAGUAAAGCAUGGGCACUAAACAAAGCAUGCACCACACUCCUGGGCAUAUUCAAUUUAUGUUCAUGGAGCACAUACCCUAAAAACAUAAAUGACAGACAAAAGAGAAGACUUUUCCCCAGAUUCCAGAUGGUGCCUUCCUUGCAGGGUGGCUAAGAAUACCACNGACCAUGGCUAAGAACACCACAGUAGACACUGAGACUGUUGUCAGCCCCUGGGUACAGGGCACACAUGGACCUGUUUGAAGUUUGAAGCUGUUUCUUAUAGACUUCAUGUUUAAGUAAUGUUGGGAUUCUAUGUACAAUUCACUCAGUGUAAGCAGNAGUCACUGAUCAAAACACUAUAGCAUUACAUAGUUACUUGCCCUUUUGGCCUUCCUGCCUCAUCUUCUUCCUAUAAGCCAGUGGUUUCCAAAUUUCCUGACUCUGCAACAUUUUAAUACAGUUGCUCAUGAUGUGAUGAAACUUCAACCAUAAAAUUACUUCA